This 137-nucleotide small nucleolar RNA is filed under the name Bactrocera tryoni. Its description in RNAcentral is "small nucleolar RNA psi28S-1192". It matches the Rfam family "Small nucleolar RNA psi28S-1192". From Rfam's summary of the family: psi28S-1192 is a member of the H/ACA class of snoRNA. Lineage: Eukaryota; Metazoa; Arthropoda; Insecta; Diptera; Tephritidae. The record is from RNAcentral. RNAcentral also lists the same sequence under 1 other name.
AAUUAGUCCUCUCUAAUGUAAAAUAAUGAUCUUAUCAAAUUGUUUUGCCUCGCUUGUGGACAAUAUCAAAAUUUCUAUUAUCCUAGCGUCUAACUUUGACGAAUGGUGUGAUGCUCGAGAAACAUAGAAAAACAAUU